This 947-nucleotide long non-coding RNA is filed under the name Mus musculus (house mouse). RNAcentral's name for it is "predicted gene, 47018". The record is from RNAcentral. Lineage: Eukaryota; Metazoa; Chordata; Mammalia; Rodentia; Muridae.
AAUUGUUUAAUUACUCAAAUUUAUUUAACAUAUAUCACUUAAACAUUUAAUUCAAUAUGGCAGUUUUUCUGCUACAUCAAAUAAAAUUGAUCAAUUUUCUAAUUUUAUGGAAUUACAAAGUAUUUUAUUAUAAAAUCAUUCUUUAAUUUGAAAUAUUUUCUCACAAACAUCAGUUGGAGAAGUGGCUAAAUAUAUGUAGUCAAUAUCAAGUACUUAGUAGGUAGUGAAAUGUAGUGAAUCUUAAUUAUUCCUGUGCACAAGAAACUCCUGGCGCUGAGGUUGUUUAAUUAUAUAGAUCAAAUGCCCAACAUGUGUGACCCCUUAACGAAGCCGUUCCUUCCUCCCAGGCUUCUUUUCUCAAACACUGUUCAUUUUAGCAGACGAGCUACAACACCUGGGUCCAGAAAUCCACUGUAAUUUAUUUUAUGUGAUAACGUAUGGCAUACCAUAUAUUAUUUCAUUAUUUUAAGUUACACACACACGUUUUUCUUUGUACACAUAUCAUAUUGUAUUUAUUUCCUUGAAAGAAGAAAUAUUGUCAACACUGAACAUUUAUACAUUUCUUUUUCUUGACAUCACUCCAAGAACACAGAGCAACAAGACUAGUAUAAAAUUUACAUGGAAUCCCUAUUAUAAGUAAUCCAGAUGAAUUCACAUAAACAGGAGGAUGAGUGUUGGUUUCAUGUAAACACUCAGUAUCUUGACCCCUCAGAGUUUGUUAUGUGUGAGGGUCCAGGAAUGAAGGUGUCAUCAAAUGACAAGAAACAACAACUUUUAUUCCAUGGAUAUUUUCAAUGCAUGGUUGGCUGAAUACUCUGAUAUGUAACAUAUGGAGACAGCUGACCAGCUGCUUAAAUACAUUCAUAUGUAAAACAAAUCAGUGACCAUCCACUAAAGUGAAUGUGCAUUUAGAAUAUCUGACUACAUUUUCUGAAACAAAGCUAUUG